This 200-nucleotide ribosomal RNA is filed under the name uncultured bacterium. Its description in RNAcentral is "partial 16S ribosomal RNA". It matches the Rfam family "Bacterial small subunit ribosomal RNA", at positions 30 to 233 of the family's 1533-position model. The record is from RNAcentral.
AUUGAACGUUGGCGGCAGGCCUAACACAUGCAAGUCGAGCGCGAAAGUUCUUCGGAAUGAGUAAAGCGGCGGACGGGUGAGUAAUACAUGGGAAUCUGCCUGGUAGUGGGGGACAACGUUUCGAAAGGAACGCUAAUACCGCAUACGCCCUACGGGGGAAAGGGGGGGAUCUUCGGACCUCUCGCUAUCAGAUGAGCCCA